Molecule: non-coding RNA, 1323 nt
Organism: Punica granatum (pomegranate)
Lineage: Eukaryota; Viridiplantae; Streptophyta; Magnoliopsida; Myrtales; Lythraceae
Source: RefSeq, a predicted model, not a curated record
AACCAUUUCAUUUCCUUUUGUUUUUUUCCUUCCAUCUGCUGAGCUGAAAAAGAUCUGGAUCACUCCCUCCCUCUGUCUCUCUCUUUCAAUUCUCCUUUGCUUGGCGAGCCUCGCCGAUCGCCAUGGACGCCAGCAAGCUUCUGUCCGGUUCAACGGUAGUGUUUCGCAGUCACUCCCUCAAGUUCGUUAAGUUGCUAGCUCCAGCUCCGGUUUCUUGACACCUCCUUCUUUGAAGACGUCGUCCUCGUUCACGGCGACUUCGUCUUUGACCCUGCCCCGGAGAAAACCUCCAGUGUCUGUCGUGCGGCGGAGGUUAGCGCUGAAAUGCGGCGCUGUUGCUGGAGGUAUAACCGAAAUCGAUGAGAGCCAGUUCGCUGAUACGGUGUUGAAAAGCAACCGGCCUGUGCUGGUGGAGUUCGUGGCCGACUGGUGUGGUCCUUGCCGCUUAAUCUCUCCCGCUAUUGAGUGGGUGGCUCAGGAAAUCGAGGAUUCUGAAGGUUCAAUCCAGUGAGCUACCUUUCUGGAAGUUGUCGAUAAGCUUCCGAUUGCUCGGAGGAAUCACUUUUUGAUAUCGGGGAUCAGCUUGGAGGACUAGGAAAAGUUCUAUCGAAAAUUCGGGUCGUGACAGAACUUCAGUACCAUUGCUGAUUCUUUAACAUAAAUCAUCAAGAAGGAUGUUGGGUUCAAGUGGGGAGAAGAGCAAGAGAAGGCUUUCAAUACAUUAAAAGAAAAGCUAAGUUCAGCUCCAUUGCUACUUUUACCAUAUUUCUCUAAACUUUUUGAAAUCGAAUGUGAUGCUUCUGGAAUUGGUGUAGGUGUUGUACUUAUGCAAGACCGGAGGCCCAUUGCCUAUUUCAGUGAGAAGCUUAAAGGGGCCGCUUUGAACUACUCUACCUACGACAAGGAGUUAUAUGCGUUGGUGAGAGCACUGGAUACGUGGCAACACUACUUGUGGUCUAAGGAGUUCAUCAUUCACACAGACCAUGAAUCACUGAAGCACUUGAAAGGCCAAGGUAAGUUGAAUCGCAGACAUGCACGUUGAAUUGAGUUCAUUGAGAUGUUCCCAUAUGUGAUCCAAUACAAGCAAGGUAAGGAGAAUGUGGUAGCCGAUGCCUUAUCUCGCAGGUAUGCCCUUGUUUCAACUCUUGGAGCUAAGUUUCUUGGGUUAGAGCAUUUUAAGGAGUUGUAUGAGCAUGAUCCUGAUUUUGCUGCUAUGUUUGCUGCCUGUGAAAAGGGAGUGUUUGAUAAGUUUCAUAGGCAUGAGGGGUAUUUAUUUCGUGAAAAUAGGCUAUGUAUUCCAAAGAGUUCCAUGCGUGAAUUACU